Molecule: small nuclear RNA, 108 nt
Organism: Physeter macrocephalus (sperm whale)
Lineage: Eukaryota; Metazoa; Chordata; Mammalia; Artiodactyla; Physeteridae
Source: Ensembl
GUGCUCGUUUUGGCAGCACAUAUACUAAAAAUUGGAACGAUACAGAGAAGAUUAGCAUGGCCCCUGUGCAUGGAUGACACGCAAAUUCGUGAAGUGUUCCAUAUUUUG